GAUCGUGUGGCUCGAAUGGCUUUAGGCAUCGGAUUGCAACCCCGAAUUAUACAGGUUCGAUUCCUGUCACGAUCU
Molecule: transfer RNA, 75 nt
Filed under: Sulfitobacter phage phiCB2047-B
Lineage: Duplodnaviria; Heunggongvirae; Uroviricota; Caudoviricetes; Schitoviridae
Rfam family: tRNA
About the family: Transfer RNA (tRNA) molecules are approximately 80 nucleotides in length. Their secondary structure includes four short double-helical elements and three loops (D, anti-codon, and T loops).
Source: Rfam by way of RNAcentral